UACGUAGGGUGCAAGCGUUGUCCGGAAUUAUUGGGCGUAAAGAGCUUGUAGGCGGUUUGUCGCGUCUGCUGUGAAAUUUCGGGGCUCAACCCCGAACUUGCAGUGGGUACGGGCAGACUAGAGUGUGGUAGGGGAGACUGGAAUUCCUGGUGUAGCGGUGAAAUGCGCAGAUAUCAGGAGGAACACCGAUGGCGAAGGCAGGUCUCUGGGCCAUAACUGACGCUGAGAAGCGAAAGCAUGGGGAGCGAACCGG
This 253-nucleotide ribosomal RNA is filed under the name uncultured bacterium. RNAcentral describes it as "partial 16S ribosomal RNA". It matches the Rfam family "Bacterial small subunit ribosomal RNA", at positions 524 to 776 of the family's 1533-position model. The record is from RNAcentral.